This is a long non-coding RNA of Lycium barbarum (goji berry), 2221 nucleotides long. RefSeq lists it as uncharacterized. The transcript is spliced from 3 exons. The record is from RefSeq and is a predicted model, not a curated record. NCBI's taxonomy places the organism in Eukaryota, Viridiplantae, Streptophyta, Magnoliopsida, Solanales, Solanaceae.
AUACCUUCCCUUUAGACUAAUUGAACCCGUACCUAGAAUCAUUUGGUUUCACAAACUUUUAAAACGGAGUUAACUUUAAAAUAAUUUUAGGUGUCCUAAUUCACAAUAAAUAAUUAGGUGGCGACUCCCUAACUUUAAUUAACCCCAGAAUUACUGGGAUGUUGUAAACUAUUUUUACUCGGUUAAAAUAGGGUAUAACAACAAGCACCGCACGUACUCGGCUCGAAGAUAACUGGCCUUCUCGGCAGCAGUCACGUCAGCCUUAUACUGGUUUAACAUAUCAUCAUAGCUCGAGAUCUGGUCAAGAGCCUUUCCAUGUUCAACCUGCAGAUCGGUGAUGACCCGACUCAGUCUAUCUUGCUCAGCUUCAGCCCCAGCAAGCGACGAGCUAAGUCCGUUUACUUAUUCCAUUGUCGCCCGAAGAUGCUCUCUGAGAACAUCCCGCUCGGCUACAGCACCGAUUGUCGUUUCAUUAAUAGCAUUAAGCUCGGGUUUGAUCCCAUCAAGCUCCGCCCAAAGUUGAUGGGCCUGAGAAGGAGGGGCAUUAGCAUCGGCUAUUAGAGAUUUAUUAUAAACUUCGAAAGCUCUUACCUUCUCUGCCAACUGGUUACGUUCCUGCUUAGCCUCGACAACUUCGUUUCGAGCCGCUGCCAAAUCCGACCUAAGGAUAGAAAGGUCAGGGAGAGACGAGAUAUACUCCAAUUUCUGCCCAUACAGAUCCAUGAGCUUGUCCACCUCCUGACUUUUCCUUUUGAGCUCCUCCUUGAGCCAAUCCACUUCAUUCCUGAGUCGGUGGAAGCUUGCAUAAUGAAGCACGGAGGCCUAUAAGGGAACGAGGAGCGGUUAUUAAAAUGAGGCUUGAAAUUAAAGCUAAGUGAAAAGGGCAUCGGAACAAGACUUGCCCGGUUCAACGCCUUCUGAGCCUCGUUGAAAAGGCACGAUUCGCUAACUUCAGCCAUUUUCUUACAGUCCUCUUGGGACACCAGAGGGUACAGAUAGUGUUAUAUCCCGUAUUUUUGAACGUCAGAUUAUUUGCUGAGGUGGGGCCCACACAUCGAGAUUUUUUUGGGACAUCUGAAAAGUCAUAUGAAUCACAUAUGUGAAGUUAAACACAACUCAAGAAGGACCCUUGGGCCAAAUCAAAGUGGAAGUCCUCCAAACGAAUAUUUUUAAGAAAACGUUUUCGGGUGAUCUGACUUCUAGGGGCAAAAACGGAAUUAUAAGUUUGGAAUUUGGAAAAUAUCAAGAAAUAGAAGUUGUAGAUAAUUGAAUUAGCUUUCCAACCAUAGGUCGUGGGUUCCCAGGUGACAUCGGUACAAGGAGAUAUGGACGUUUUAAGGUCGAAAGGUCAGUGGGCUAGGCCCAACUCGGGAUCAACCGAGUUGGCCCAAAAAAAUAAAAAACGAAUUAAGGCCCAAAGGAGAGGGGUGGCCGGCCAUCUUAUGGCCCAAGCCCACAAAAUUAAUAAAUUUCCCAUGUGAUAAUUAAUAUAAAGGAUCAUUAAAUUGUCUUGAAACAUUUAGAAGUUUCAAGACAAUUGAGAAAGAGAGAAACAAGAGAAAGAAGAGCAAGAACAAGAAGGCCAUUUUCGGCCAAGCUCUAGACCAAAAAAAAAAAAAAAAUUCAAAAAUCAUUUUCUACCAAUUAAAGGGUCCUUUACAACUUGGUGUAAUUAUUUUGGAAGAAAGAACACUUGUUUCUUCAAGUUGACAACUUGGUCAAGUGAAGAAGAUUGUAGAAAAAGAUUUUGGCGAACUUGAAACUUGAUUUUGGAGACGUGUAUGAAUCGGAAAAGGUCAACAGGUAGACAGAUUUGACUCUUAGAAGCUCCAUCAGCAGUACUGUGGCAGCGCUCCAGUUGUUCCGGAGCCUCAGUUUCUUGGUACUACUUUUGUGUACAUAUUCGGGCACGGUAGAACCGGUCCUUCUUGUAUAUGUAGAUGUACUUUGUUUAGAGGCUCGUAGACAGAUAUGUACAGUCAGAUGUUUUGUACUUUUGUGGUCCUCGUCGUUGUAUAAUGUGCUAGCAAAGUUUAUAAGUCCAUGUCUACAAUUAUGCCAUUAAUGUUAGCGUUAAGCAACAGAAAAAAAAAAGGAUACGGUAUAGUCUAUACGGCCCACCUAGUAGUAAAAGUACGAUACGAGAUAAGGGGUGCUCGGUACAAGUAUCGGGUACCCGUCGCGGCCCCUAGUUGGGUCGUGACAGAAGUGGUAUCAGAGC